GAUGAGAACGCAGCGAAAUGCGAUACUUGGUGUGAAUUGCAGAAUCCCGUGAACCAUCGAGUCUUUGAACGCAAGUUGCGCCCGAAGCCGUCAGGCCGAGGGCACGCCUGCCUGGGCGUCACACGCCGUUGCCCCCCCGCGCCCCGCACCCAACUCUUUGGGAGCGACCGCGGGGCGGGCUGAUGAUGGCCUCCCGUGCGCUCCGCCGCGCGGUUGGCCCAAAUACCGAGUCCCCGGCGACGUGCGCCACGACGAUCGGUGGUUGAGAGACCUCUGUCGCAAGUCGUGCGCGCCCGUCGCGUCACGCGGGCUCGCAUAGCGCCUCGCGCCGCACCCGGUGCGGAGCUUUCAACGCGACCCCAGGUCAGGCGGGGUUACCCGCUGAAUUUAAGCAUAUCAAUAAGCGGAGG
This 410-nucleotide unclassified non-coding RNA is filed under the name soil metagenome. Its description in RNAcentral is "partial contains 5.8S ribosomal RNA, internal transcribed spacer 2, and large subunit ribosomal RNA". The stretch from base 5 to 121 matches the Rfam family "5.8S ribosomal RNA", at positions 40 to 154 of the family's 154-position model. The record is from RNAcentral.